GAUUAACGCUAGCGGCAGGCAUAAUACAUGUAAGUUGAACGGCAGCACAGGUAGCAAUCCUGGGUGGCGAGUGGCGCACGGGUGCGUAACACGUAUGCAACCUACCCUAUACAGGCGAAUAACCUUUAGAAAUGAGGGCUAAUACGCCGUAGUAUUACAGAUGGGCAUCUAUUUUGUAAUUAAAGAUUUAUCGGUAUAGGAUGGGCAUGCGUCCCAUUAGUUAGUUGGUAAGGUAACGGCUUACCAAGACGAUGAUGGGUAGGGGAUCUGAGAGGACUUACCCCCACACUGGUACUGAGACACGGACCAGACUCCUACGGGAGGCAGCAGUAAGGAAUAUUGGGCAAUGGCCGCGAGGCUGACCCAGCCAUGCCGCGUGCAGGAAGACGGCCUUAUGGGUUGUAAACUGCUUUUAUACGGGAAUAAUAGAGUGUACGCGUACAUUUAUGCAAGUAUCGUAUGAAUAAGCAUCGGCUAACUCCGUG
RNAcentral lists this ribosomal RNA (485 nucleotides) under uncultured bacterium. RNAcentral describes it as "partial 16S ribosomal RNA". It matches the Rfam family "Bacterial small subunit ribosomal RNA", at positions 28 to 507 of the family's 1533-position model. The record is from RNAcentral.